AGCCCAACUUUCCCAACACGGUUCCGAGCCUCUACCUGAACAGCCGUAGUGGUGUAAGUACACACAGACAGCCUCAUCACGGACAUAAGACUUUUUUCAAAAGAAAAAAGAGCCAGGUUCAGAUUGUCAGUUCAAAGAGGGAGCGAUGAAAAAGGGGAAUGAGAGGAGAGCGUGCAAGGUCAGGAAGAACCAGG
This is a long non-coding RNA of Acanthochromis polyacanthus (spiny chromis), 194 nucleotides long. RefSeq lists it as uncharacterized. The record is from RefSeq and is a predicted model, not a curated record. Lineage: Eukaryota; Metazoa; Chordata; Actinopteri; Pomacentridae. The transcript has 3 exons.